This 636-nucleotide ribosomal RNA is filed under the name uncultured Marinobacter sp. RNAcentral describes it as "bacterial SSU rRNA". It matches the Rfam family "Bacterial small subunit ribosomal RNA", at positions 870 to 1505 of the family's 1533-position model. The record is from RNAcentral. Lineage: Bacteria; Pseudomonadati; Pseudomonadota; Gammaproteobacteria; Pseudomonadales; Marinobacteraceae.
CGCCUGGGGAGUGCGGCCGCAAGGUUAAAACUCAAAUGAAUUGACGGGGGCCCGCACAAGCGGUGGAGCAUGUGGUUUAAUUCGACGCAACGCGAAGAACCUUACCUGGCCUUGACAUCCAGAGAGCUUUCCAGAGAUGGAUUGGUGCCUUCGGGAACUCUGAGACAGGUGCUGCAUGGCCGUCGUCAGCUCGUGUCGUGAGAUGUUGGGUUAAGUCCCGUAACGAGCGCAACCCCUAUCCCUGGUUGCUAGCAGGUAAUGCUGAGAACUCCAGGGAGACUGUCGGUGACAAACCGGAGGAAGGUGGGGAUGACGUCAGGUCAUCAUGGCCCUUACGGCCAGGGCUACACACGUGCUACAAUGGCGCGUACAGAGGGCUGCCAACUCGCGAGAGUGAGCCAAUCCCUUAAAACGCGUCGUAGUCCGGAUCGGAGUCUGCAACUCGACUCCGUGAAGUCGGAAUCGCUAGUAAUCGCGAAUCAGAAUGUCGCGGUGAAUACGUUCCCGGGCCUUGUACACACCGCCCGUCACACCAUGGGAGUGGAUUGCACCAGAAGUAGUUAGUCUAACCUUCGGGAGGACGAUUACCACGGUGUGGUUCAUGACUGGGGUGAAGUCGUAACAAGGUAACCGUAC